UACGUAGGGAGCAAGCGUUGUUCGGAUUUACUGGGCGUAAAGCGCGUGUAGGCGGCUUCGCAAGUUGGAUGUGAAAGCCCACGGCUCAACCGUGGAAGCGCAUCCAAAACUGCGUCGCUCGAGUCUCGGAGAGGAAGGUGGAAUGCUUGGUGUAGAGGUGAAAUUCGUAGAUAUCGGGAGGAACACCUGUGGCGAAAGCGGCUCUCUGGACCGUAACUGACGCUGAGACACGAAAGCGUGGGUAGCAAACAGG
RNAcentral lists this ribosomal RNA (253 nucleotides) under uncultured bacterium. RNAcentral's name for it is "partial 16S ribosomal RNA". It matches the Rfam family "Bacterial small subunit ribosomal RNA", at positions 524 to 776 of the family's 1533-position model. The record is from RNAcentral.